GAGGAGCCUGCGGCAGAUUAGCUAGUUGGUGAGGUAAUGGCUCACCAAGGCUGCGAUCUGUAGCUGGUCUGAGAGGACGGCCAGCCACACUGGCACUGACACACGGGCCAGACUCCUACGGGAGGCAGCAGUGGGGAAUUUUGGGCAAUGGGCGAAAGCCUGACCCAGCAACGCCGCGUGAGGGAGGAAAUCCUUCGGGAUGUAAACCUCACAAGUAAGGGAAGAGUGCUGCGGGCUGAAUAAUUCCGCAGUUCGACGGUACCUUACGUAAGCCACGGCUAACUACGUGCCAGCAGCCGCGGUAAUACGUAGGUGGCAAGCGUUGUUCGGAAUUAUUGGGCGUAAAGGGCGCGUAGGCGGCUUGUUAAGUCGGCUGUGAAAGCCCGGGGCUCAACCCCGGAGGGUCGGCCGAUACUGGCGAGCUAGAGUACGGAAGAGGUAGCUGGAAUUCCCGGUGUAGCGGUGAAAUGCGUAAAUAUCGGGAGG
RNAcentral lists this ribosomal RNA (486 nucleotides) under uncultured Acidobacteriota bacterium. Its description in RNAcentral is "bacterial SSU rRNA". It matches the Rfam family "Bacterial small subunit ribosomal RNA", at positions 224 to 704 of the family's 1533-position model. The record is from RNAcentral. Lineage: Bacteria; Pseudomonadati; Acidobacteriota.